This 465-nucleotide ribosomal RNA is filed under the name uncultured bacterium. RNAcentral describes it as "partial 16S ribosomal RNA". It matches the Rfam family "Bacterial small subunit ribosomal RNA", at positions 28 to 507 of the family's 1533-position model. The record is from RNAcentral.
GACGAACGCUGGCGGCGUGCUUAACACAUGCAAGUCGAACGGAAAGGCCCUGCUUGCUGGGUACUCGAGUGGCGAACGGGUGAGUAACACGUGGGUGAUCUGCUCUGCACUUCGGGAUAAGCCUGGGAAACUGGGUCUAAUACCGGAUAGGAGCCAUUCUUAGUGUGAUGGUUGGAAAGUUUUUUCGGUGUAGGAUGAGCUCGCGGCCUAUCCGCUUGUUGGUGGGGUAAUGGCCUACCAAGGCGGCGACGGGUAGCCGGCCUGAGAGUGUGGACGGCCACACUGGGACUGAGAGACGGCCCAGACGCCGACGGGAGGCAGCAGUGGGGAAGAUUGCACAAGGGGCGCAAGCCUGAUGCAGCGACGCCGCGGGGGGGAUGACGGCCUUCGGGUUGUAAACACCUUUCGCGAGGGACGAAGCUUUUUGUGACGGUACCUAGAUAAGAAGCACCGGCUAACUACGUG